Long non-coding RNA from Danaus plexippus (monarch butterfly), 354 nucleotides. RefSeq lists it as uncharacterized. The record is from RefSeq and is a predicted model, not a curated record. The transcript is spliced from 3 exons. NCBI's taxonomy places the organism in Eukaryota, Metazoa, Arthropoda, Insecta, Lepidoptera, Nymphalidae.
UGGAUUUUUUGAAUGACCUUGGAUCGGUGUACCGAAUGGACAAAUAUUUGAGCAUUUUCGCAAUACAUAAAUGCACGGAGAAUUCAAAAGUGAACUCUUAACCGUUAGAAGGAAGCGACAAUGAAGUCAGACGCCUUUUUUAAUUUAAACUAACCAUCACCGCUACCCGAGACGAAACCUCUUAGCAUUCAAUGGACGUGCGGGUGCCGGGUCCACCGCGUUGCAGGGAGAGCAGCUUCAACAGUCAAGGACCCAGAAAAGUCUCCUAAAAGGUUCGAUAAUUCAAACAGAAGGACAUGUGUAAUAUUAGCAGGGUUAUAAAACACGAUCAAAGAAUUCUUAACUUUCAGAUAA